This 492-nucleotide ribosomal RNA is filed under the name uncultured bacterium. RNAcentral's name for it is "partial 16S ribosomal RNA". It matches the Rfam family "Bacterial small subunit ribosomal RNA", at positions 29 to 507 of the family's 1533-position model. The record is from RNAcentral.
AGUGAACGCUGGCGGUAGGCCUAACACAUGCAAGUCGAACGGCAGCACAGUAAGAGCUUGCUCUUACGGGUGGCGAGUGGCGGACGGGUGAGGAAUACAUCGGAAUCUACUUUUUCGUGGGGGAUAACGUAGGGAAACUUACGCUAAUACCGCAUACGACCUACGGGUGAAAGCAGGGGAUCUUCGGACCUUGCGCGAUUGAAUGAGCCGCUGUCGGAUUGGCUAGUUGGCGGGGUAAAGGCCCACCAAGGCGACGAUCCGUAGCUGGUCUGAGGGGAUGGUCAGCCACACUGGAACUGAGACACGGUCCAGGGUCCUACGGGAGGCAGCAGUGGGGAAUAUUGGACAAUGGGGGCGAGCCUGAUCCAGCCAUACCGCGUGGGAGAAGGAGGCCUUCGGGUUGUAAAGCCCUUUUGUUGGGAAAGAAAAGCAGCAGGUUAAUACCCCGCUGUUCUGACGGUACCCAAAGAAUAGGCACCGGCUAACUUCGUG